CUGAAAUAAAUUUGUAAGUCUCUAAGGUGCCACAAGUACUCCUGUUUUUUUUGCGGAUACAAACUGACACGGCUGCUACACUGAAA
Molecule: non-coding RNA, 86 nt
Organism: Chelonoidis abingdonii (Abingdon island giant tortoise)
Lineage: Eukaryota; Metazoa; Chordata; Testudines; Testudinidae
Source: RefSeq, a predicted model, not a curated record